ACGGCAGCGCGGGCUUCGGCCUGGCGGCGAGUGGCGGACGGGUGAGUAAUGCAUCGGAACGUGCCCAGGAGUGGGGGAUAACGUAGCGAAAGUUACGCUAAUACCGCAUACGUACUGAGGUAGAAAGCGGGGGAUCGAAAGACCUCGCGCUCAUGGAGCGGCCGAUGUCGGAUUAGCUAGUUGGCGGGGUAAAAGCCCACCAAGGCGACGAUCCGUAGCUGGUCUGAGAGGACGACCAGCCACACUGGGACUGAGACACGGCCCAGACUCCUACGGGAGGCAGCAGUGGGGAAUCUUGGACAAUGGGGGAAACCCUGAUCCAGCAAUGCCGCGUGUGGGAUGAAGGCCCUCGGGUUGUAAACCACUUUUGGCAGGAAAGAAAUCGCCUGUGCUAAUACCACGGGCGGAUGGCGGUACCUGCAGAAUAAGCACCGGCUAACUACGUGCCAGCAGCCGCGGUAAUACGUAGGGUGCGAGCGUUAAUCGGAAUUACUGGGCGUAAAGAGUGCGUAGGCGGUUUUGUAAGACAGAUGUGAAAUCCCCGGGCUUAACCUGGGAACUGCAUUUGUGACUGCAAGACUAGAGUGUGUCAGAGGGAGGUGGAAUUCCGCGUGUAGCAGUGAAAUGCGUA
RNAcentral lists this ribosomal RNA (631 nucleotides) under uncultured Burkholderiales bacterium. RNAcentral describes it as "bacterial SSU rRNA". It matches the Rfam family "Bacterial small subunit ribosomal RNA", at positions 66 to 692 of the family's 1533-position model. Lineage: Bacteria; Pseudomonadati; Pseudomonadota; Betaproteobacteria; Burkholderiales. The record is from RNAcentral.